RNAcentral lists this ribosomal RNA (402 nucleotides) under uncultured bacterium. Its description in RNAcentral is "bacterial SSU rRNA". It matches the Rfam family "Bacterial small subunit ribosomal RNA", at positions 355 to 774 of the family's 1533-position model. The record is from RNAcentral.
UGGGGAAUAUUGCACAAUGGGGGAAACCCUGAUGCAGCAACGCCGCGUGAGUGAUGACGGCCUUCGGGUUGUAAAGCUCUGUCUUCAGGGACGAUAAUGACGGUACCUGAGGAGGAAGCCACGGCUAACUACGUGCCAGCAGCCGCGGUAAUACGUAGGUGGCAAGCGUUGUCCGGAUUUACUGGGCGUAAAGGGAGCGUAGGCGGACUUUUAAGUGAGAUGUGAAAUACCCGGGCUCAACCUGGGUGCUGCAUUUCAAACUGGAAGUCUAGAGUGCAGGAGAGGGGAGUGGAAUUCCUAGUGUAGCGGUGAAAUGCGUAGAGAUUAGGAAGAACACCAGUGGCGAAGGCGACUCUCUGGACUGUAACUGACGCUGAGGCUCGAAAGCGUGGGGAGCAAACA